CCUACGGGGGGCUGCAGUGGGGAAUAUUGGACAAUGGGGGCAACCCUGAUCCAGCCAUGCCGCGUGUGUGAAGAAGGCCCUCGGGUUGUAAAGCACUUUCAGUGAGGAAGAACGCUUGGUGGUUAAUACCCAUCAGGAAAGACAUCACUCACAGAAGAAGCACCGGCUAACUUCGUGCCAGCAGCCGCGGUAAUACGGAGGGUGCGAGCGUUAAUCGGAAUUACUGGGCGUAAAGCGCGCGUAGGUGGCUUGAUAAGCCGGUUGUGAAAGCCCCGGGCUCAACCUGGGAACGGCAUCCGGAACUGUCAAGCUAGAGUGCAGGAGAGGAAGGUAGAAUUCCAGGUGUAGCGGUGAAAUGCGUAGAGAUCGGGAGGAAUACCAGUGGCGAAGGCGGCCUUCUGGACUGACACUGACACUGAGGUGCGAAAGCGUGGGUAGCAAACAGGAUUAGAUACCCUAGUAGUC
This 465-nucleotide ribosomal RNA is filed under the name Vreelandella stevensii. RNAcentral's name for it is "partial 16S ribosomal RNA". It matches the Rfam family "Bacterial small subunit ribosomal RNA", at positions 338 to 795 of the family's 1533-position model. Lineage: Bacteria; Pseudomonadati; Pseudomonadota; Gammaproteobacteria; Oceanospirillales; Halomonadaceae. The record is from RNAcentral.